RNAcentral lists this ribosomal RNA (274 nucleotides) under uncultured bacterium. RNAcentral describes it as "partial 16S ribosomal RNA". It matches the Rfam family "Bacterial small subunit ribosomal RNA", at positions 523 to 796 of the family's 1533-position model. The record is from RNAcentral.
AUACGGAGGGUGCAAGCGUUAUCCGGAAUCAUUGGGUUUAAAGGGUCCGUAGGCGGACUAUUAAGUCAGAGGUGAAAUCCCACAGCUCAACUGUGGAACUGCCUUUGAUACUGGUAGUCUUGAGUUAUAUGGAAGUAGAUAGAAUGUGUAGUGUAGCGGUGAAAUGCAUAGAUAUUACACAGAAUAUCGAUUGCGAAGGCAGUCUACUACGUAUAUACUGACGCUAAGGGACGAAAGCGUGGGGAGCGAACAGGAUUAGAAACCCCAGUAGUCC